UGAACGCUGGCGGCGUGCCUAAUACAUGCAAGUCGAACGAGUUCUCGUUGAUGAUCGGUGCUUGCACCGAGAUUCAACAUAGAACGAGUGGCGGACGGGUGAGUAACACGUGGGUAACCUGCCCUUAAGUGGGGGAUAACAUUUGGAAACAGAUGCUAAUACCGCAUAGAUCCAAGAACCGCAUGGUUCUUGGCUGAAAGAUGGCGUAAGCUAUCGCUUUUGGAUGGACCCGCGGCGUAUUAGCUAGUUGGUGAGGUAAUGGCUCACCAAGGCGAUGAUACGUAGCCGAACUGAGAGGUUGAUCGGCCACAUUGGGACUGAGACACGGCCCAAACUCCUACGGGAGGCAGCAGUAGGGAAUCUUCCACAAUGGACGCAAGUCUGAUGGAGCAACGCCGCGUGAGUGAAGAAGGCUUUCGGGUCGUAAAACUCUGUUGUUGGAGAAGAAUGGUCGGCAGAGUAACUGUUGUCGGCGUGACGGUAUCCAACCAGAAAGCCACGGCUAACUACGUGCCAGCAGCCGCGGUAAUACGUAGGUGGCAAGCGUUAUCCGGAUUUAUUGGGCGUAAAGCGAGCGCAGGCGGUUUUUUAAGUCUGAUGUGAAAGCCCUCGGCUUAACCGAGGAAGCGCAUCGGAAACUGGGAAACUUGAGUGCAGAAGAGGACAGUGGAACUCCAUGUGUAGCGGUGAAAUGCGUAGAUAUAUGGAAGAACACCAGUGGCGAAGGCGGCUGUCUGGUCUGUAACUGACGCUGAGGCUCGAAAGCAUGGGUAGCGAACAGGAUUAGAUACCCUGGUAGUCCAUGCCGUAAACGAUGAAUGCUAGGUGUUGGAGGGUUUCCGCCCUUCAGUGCCGCAGCUAACGCAUUAAGCAUUCCGCCUGGGGAGUACGACCGCAAGGUUGAAACUCAAAGGAAUUGACGGGGGCCCGCACAAGCGGUGGAGCAUGUGGUUUAAUUCGAAGCAACGCGAAGAACCUUACCAGGUCUUGACAUCUUUUGAUCACCUGAGAGAUCAGGUUUCCCCUUCGGGGGCAAAAUGACAGGUGGUGCAUGGUUGUCGUCAGCUCGUGUCGUGAGAUGUUGGGUUAAGUCCCGCAACGAGCGCAACCCUUAUGACUAGUUGCCAGCAUUUAGUUGGGCACUCUAGUAAGACUGCCGGUGACAAACCGGAGGAAGGUGGGGAUGACGUCAAAUCAUCAUGCCCCUUAUGACCUGGGCUACACACGUGCUACAAUGGAUGGUACAACGAGUUGCAAGACCGCGAGGUCAAGCUAAUCUCUUAAAGCCAUUCUCAGUUCGGACUGUAGGCUGCAACUCGCCUACACGAAGUCGGAAUCGCUAGUAAUCGCGGAUCAGCACGCCGCGGUGAAUACGUUCCCGGGCCUUGUACACACCGCCCGUCACACCAUGAGAGUUUGUAACACCCGAAGCCGGUGGCGUAACCCUUUUAGGGAGCGAGCCGUCUAAGGUGGGAC
This 1476-nucleotide ribosomal RNA is filed under the name uncultured organism. RNAcentral describes it as "16S ribosomal RNA". It matches the Rfam family "Bacterial small subunit ribosomal RNA". The record is from RNAcentral.